AUUGAACGCUGGCGGCAGGCCUAACACAUGCAAGUCGAGCGGAUGAAGGGAGCUUGCUCCUGGAUUCAGCGGCGGACGGGUGAGUAAUGCCUAGGAAUCUGCCUGGUAGUGGGGGAUAACGUCCGGAAACGGGCGCUAAUACCGCAUACGUCCUGAGGGAGAAAGUGGGGGAUCUUCGGACCUCACGCUAUCAGAUGAGCCUAGGUCGGAUUAGCUAGUUGGUGGGGUAAAGGCCUACCAAGGCGACGAUCCGUAACUGGUCUGAGAGGAUGAUCAGUCACACUGGAACUGAGACACGGUCCAGACUCCUACGGGAGGCAGCAGUGGGGAAUAUUGGACAAUGGGCGAAAGCCUGAUCCAGCCAUGCCGCGUGUGUGAAGAAGGUCUUCGGAUUGUAAAGCACUUUAAGUUGGGAGGAAGGGCAGUCAGUUAAUACCUUGCUGUUUUGACGUUACCAACAGAAUAAGCACCGGCUAACUUCGUG
Molecule: ribosomal RNA, 484 nt
Filed under: uncultured bacterium
Lineage: Bacteria
Description: partial 16S ribosomal RNA
Rfam family: Bacterial small subunit ribosomal RNA
Source: RNAcentral